Molecule: small RNA, 53 nt
Filed under: bovine gut metagenome
Description: Streptococcus sRNA SpF59 (ldcC RNA)
Rfam family: Streptococcus sRNA SpF59 (ldcC RNA)
Source: RNAcentral
GACCCCUCCCCAUGGGAGCAAAGGCCGAACGGACAGCCGGGGUCGAAUGCCGA